Molecule: ribosomal RNA, 491 nt
Filed under: uncultured bacterium
Lineage: Bacteria
Description: partial 16S ribosomal RNA
Rfam family: Bacterial small subunit ribosomal RNA
Source: RNAcentral
AGUGAACGCUGGCGGUAGGCCUAACACAUGCAAGUCGAACGGCAGCACAGUAAGAGCUUGCUCUUACGGGUGGCGAGUGGCGGACGGGUGAGGAGUACAUCGGAAUCUACUUUUUCGUGGGGGAUAACGUAGGGAAACUUACGCUAAUACCGCAUACGACCUACGGGUGAAAGCAGGGGAUCUUCGGACCUUGCGCGAUUGAAUGAGCCGAUGUCGGAUUAGCUAGUUGGCGGGGUAAGGGCCCACCAAGGCGACGAUCCGUAGCUGGUCUGAGAGGAUGAUCAGCCACACUGGAACUGAGACACGGUCCAGACUCCUACGGGAGGCAGCAGUGGGGAAUAUUGGACAAUGGGCGCAAGCCUGAUCCAGCCAUACCGCGUGGGUGAAGAAGGCCUUCGGGUUGUAAAGCCCUUUUGUUGGGAAAGAAAAGCAGCAGGUUAAUACCCCGCUGUUCUGACGGUACCCAAAGAAUAAGCACCGGCUAACUUCGU